Molecule: ribosomal RNA, 345 nt
Filed under: uncultured archaeon
Lineage: Archaea
Description: bacterial SSU rRNA
Rfam family: Archaeal small subunit ribosomal RNA
Source: RNAcentral
CCGACGGUGAGGGACGAAAGCUGGGGGAGCAAACCGGAUUAGAUACCCGGGUAGUCCCAGCCGUAAACGAUGUGCGUUAGGUGUAUCGGUGACCACGAGUCACCGAGGUGCCGAAGAGAAAUCGUGAAACGUACCGCCUGGGAAGUACGGUCGCAAGGCUGAAACUUAAAGGAAUUGGCGGGGGAGCACCACAACAGGUGGAGCCUGCGGUUUAAUCGGACUCAACGCCGGGAAACUCACCAGAUAAGACAGCUGAAUGAUAGUCGGGCUGAAGACUCUACUUGACUAGCUGAGAGGAGGUGCAUGGCCGUCGUCAGUUCGUACUGUGAAGCAUCCAGUUAAGUC